This 616-nucleotide long non-coding RNA is filed under the name Rattus norvegicus (Norway rat). Its description in RNAcentral is "long non-coding RNA NONRATT031090". Lineage: Eukaryota; Metazoa; Chordata; Mammalia; Rodentia; Muridae. The record is from RNAcentral.
UGGCUGAUAUGUAUAACUUUUACUUAUAUUUGCUGUUCUUUCUUCGGAAUAUCCCUGGACCUCUGAAUCCCAUUUGGCUCAACAUCAUGUCCUAAACUCAACUGAGGAACACCUUUGGACAUUUGUAUCUGGAUUGCCCUCAAGCUUGUUUUUUUGGUAUUCAUUAUGUAGACCUCCAUACUGUAAUUACAGAUGUUUCUAACCAGAACUGUCACCUGGUAGUUCUGUCAAGAGGAGCAGCCAGUCAACGUGCCACCACAUUCCAGCAACUUACCUAGGAGCUGACCACAAACCAAAGUUCCAAGAUCACCUGGACACAAAGAAUCACCUCCUCAUAUUUCUGUAAAUGCUAGUUUAGCUGUACUUGUAAUCCACACUAUUUGGGAGGCUGAGGUAGGAGAAGUACUUAAGUCAAAGAACUGAGUUGACCAUCCUGAACAACAUAAUGUGACCCUAUCUCAACCCAACAAAACAUCAGGAGAGAAAUCCACAGACUUUCUAGUGAUCUUGCUGAGAAAACAGUUUUUAUUGUUAACUGUUAAGGGAUAAUGCCAUUAAUAUUUUAAAUUGAUGCUAUUUUGUUAUUUAAGCCACAAAAAUAUUCAUUCUGAACAAC